UACAGAGGUCUCAAGCGUUGUUCGGAUUCAUUGGGCGUAAAGGGUGCGUAGGCGGCGUGGUAAGUCGGGUGUGAAAUCUCGGAGCUUAACUCCGAAACUGCAUUCGAUACUGCCGUGCUUGAGGACUGGAGAGGAGACUGGAAUUUACGGUGUAGCGGUGAAAUGCGUAGAUAUCGUAAGGAAGACCAGUGGCGAAGGCGGGUCUCUGGACAGUUCCUGACACUGAGGCGCGAAAGCGUGGGUAGCAAACAGG
This 253-nucleotide ribosomal RNA is filed under the name uncultured bacterium. Its description in RNAcentral is "partial 16S ribosomal RNA". It matches the Rfam family "Bacterial small subunit ribosomal RNA", at positions 524 to 776 of the family's 1533-position model. The record is from RNAcentral.